RNAcentral lists this ribosomal RNA (468 nucleotides) under uncultured bacterium. RNAcentral describes it as "partial 16S ribosomal RNA". It matches the Rfam family "Bacterial small subunit ribosomal RNA", at positions 28 to 507 of the family's 1533-position model. The record is from RNAcentral.
GACGAACGCUGGCGGCGUGCUUAACACAUGCCAGUCGAACGGAAAGGCCCUUCUUUUUUGGGGUGCUCGGGUGGCGAACGGGUGAGUAACACGUGAGUAACCUACCCUUCACUUUUGUAUAACUUCACGAAACUAGGGCUAAUCUCGUAUAGGAUCUCCUGCUGCAUUGUGGGGGUUGGAAAGUUUCGGCGGUUGGGGAUGGACUCGCGGCUUUUGAGCUUGUUGGUGGGGUAGUGGCUUACCAAGGCUUUGACGGGUAGACGGCCUGAGAGGGUGACCGGCGACAUUGGGACUGAGAGAGGGACCAGACGCCUACGGGAGGCAGCAGUGGGGAAUAUUGCAAAGCGGGCGGAAGCCGGAGGCAGCGACGCCGGGGGCGGGAUGACGGUCUUUGGGGUGUAAACCGCUUCCGCCUGUGACGAAGCGGGAGUGACGGUAACGGGUAAAGAAGCACCGGCUAACUACGUG